AUUGUCAAGACAUCCCCACGCAGGAAUGAAAAUCAUCUCAGUCUAUGAUGCUGAACUUUCAAAGGAAGGGAAAAAGAGCCUUUUGAGACUUGAACUGUUAAUAACUGAUGUCAAUAAACAGUAUAGUUUUAUCUGUUUCUGACAAUUUUUUUAUUUAAAAAAGAAAGUGGGUGAGUGCUCUGUCGUGUCUGACUCUUUGCAACCCCAGGGACUGUAGCCUGCCAGGCUCCUCUGUCCACAAGAUUUCUGAAGCAAGAACGCUGAAGUGGAUAGCCAUUUCCUCCUCCAGGGGUCCUCCUGAUCCAAGGAUCGAACCUGUGUCUCCUGCUUUGAUAGAUUGUUUAUCACAGAUUCUUUAUCACUGAGCCACCUGGGAAGUCCUUUAAAAAGAAACCAUGUAGGCAAAAAAGGGUUAAAAAUAAAGGCUAACGUUUUGGGGAAAAAAAAAAAAAGCACUUUUAAAGUGUGCCCUCUAGUGGACAGAGGUAGAAAUGCAUAUAACCUUGAGGAAAAAAUGGAUGCCUUACUGACCUCAGUAAGUCUUACUGACAGAAAGUACAGAGUGGCUGCUGGGGACAUCACUUGUGGCCCUGCACAUUCACAUGUCAGAAUGAGACUGAGUUUGGAUAUGGGUCUGUAAAGGGGGGAUUCAGUUACAAUGAGGCCUUCAAGGGGUCCUAAUGCAAUCUGCCUGGUAUUCUUAAAACACAGAGAGACCCCAGGACCACGGUGCACAGAAUGACCAGCUGAGGACCCAGGGAGGAGGCGGCCGUCUGCAACCCAGGAGAGAGGCCUCAGGAGAAACUCACUCUGCCCACACCUUGAUCAUGGAUGUCCAACCUCCAGAACUGUGUUUAAAUGUCUGCUACUCUGCAUGUUCCACUAAAGCAGUACCACUACUGGAAUAUAGAGAAGUCCACACGAAGGGGAUGUUUCUAUAGGUCAGCACUGGUCUGCAGGGCCCUGCAUGGUCUGACCCUGCUGGCUCUCCUGGCUUCAUCUCCUCUGCCUCACCUGCUUGUCCCCACCAUACUGGGCUCCUUGAUGCUUCUUCAAGGCACCCUGCAGGUUCCUGCCCCAGGACCUUGGCACGUACUGCUCUAUUCCAUACCCACCCACAUGGCUGUUCCCUUUCCUCCCAUUUCUACUCCACGGUCACCUGCAUGACAGUGGUGACUGUCUGAAGUGCCUCCCUCUCUAAAAGGUCACCACCACCUCCCAAAUUCCUAUCUCUCUCCCCUGCUUUACUGUUCAUGGUUAAUAUAUAUAUCUAGCCAAAGUCGUGCUCAUCUAUCUUGUUUAUGAUCUGUGUCCCAUCAACAAGAAAGCUGAUAAAGGUGGGGCUUUUGUCUGUUUUGUUCCCAGCUGUACACUCUGUACCCAGAAAGAAGAACAGCGCUUUGAACAGAGUAACAUGUGAUAACUAUUUAUUGAAUGAGUGACUACAGAAUGCAGGCUUUUAGCCUCAGCGUUCUCACUCCAAAUGCGAGAAGUCAAAUAUAUAUAACAGAUUGAAGAUGGUACCAAGGUGCAGGGAGGGGGGAAGCAAAGGAGAGAGGCGGGGGCAGGGGUGAGAACUUAGCCAGCUGAGGAGGCCUGGCCCCAGCCAAGAGGCUCUCAUAUCCACUCAGUCCUGCUGUCCGAUGGCGGUGGGGGUGGGUGGAGGGCGGAGCUGGCUAGAAAGGGGGAAAUGAAGAAUUUAUAUUUCUCAAAAACUUUCUAUAAGAUUUGUGGGGCUCACUCACUGAGACCAGCCCUUGGGGCGUUGGCUUGUCUUUACAGUGUGAUGGAACACAGUGGAGGAAGAAUGGCCUGGCUCGUAGGGCAAGUGGCCCAGAACUUGCUGCAAAGCCCACUGCAGAAACACCGAUUACAAUUUGUGUUGAAUCCCAUCCCCAGCGAACCCUGCUCAUAUAGCACCUCAGAAUGCAUCCAGCUCCAUCCGUGAAUGAAUGAACAGACAAAAUGUGGCCCAUCCAUACAGUGGAAUAUUAUUCAGCCUUGGAAAGGCAGGAAAGUCUGACAUCUGCUACAACAGGGAUGAACUCUGAAGACGUUUCACUCGGUGAGAGAAACCAGACACAGGAGGACAGACACUGUACAGUUCCACUUACUUGAGGGACUAAAGCAGGUGAAUUCACGGAGACAGAAAGCAGAAGGGUGGCUGCCAGGGGCUGGGGGCGGGGACUUGGUGUUUAAUGGGGACCGAGUCUCCAUUUGGGAAGAUUAAGUUUCAUGCAUGGAUGGCGGUGACGGCUGCACAAGUAUGAAUGUGUUUAACGCCACUGCAUGUACACUUAAAAGCAGUUAAGAUGGGAAAUUUUAUGUCUGUAUAUUUCACCAAAUCUUACAAGUGCUUAUGGGCUUCCCUGGUGGCUCAGACAGUAAAGAAUUUGCCUGCAAUGCAGGAGACCCACGUACGAUCCCUGGGUCAGAAAGAUCUCCUGGAGAAGGGAACAGGAACCCACUUCAGGAUUCUUGCCUGGAGAAUCCCAUGGACAGGGGAGCCUGGCGGGCUACUGUCCAUGGGGUCACAAAGAGUUGGACACGAUUGAGCAAGUAACACUUUCACGAGUGAUUACAAGUCUCUUGGGCUGGGGCCUGAGAAUCUGCAUUCCUAAGGAGGCCUCUGAGCAAUGCUGACGUUGCCUUCCCCGGGGGAACCUCCAGCGAAGCCGACAAAAGUGAGUUCAGCAACACUGAAUUCCUCGCCUCACAGCUUCUGGGUCCAGCGUCCAACCAGGGACCAACGCCGUGUCUGCUACACGCAAGCUUAGCCCUCUCGGUCAGCACCAGUUUCAAUAGCUCACACAAGGAGCGCCCCCCAGCUCCCCUCCCUGCCUUCAGGGAGGGGCCUCUCUCCUUUAAAGACCCUCGGGAAGGAACCUGACUUCAACAGCAUUUUCACGAAAGCAUUCACUUAGGAACUUCUCACAUGUGUUAAGGGCAGUGUUCUCUGGGUAGAGGUGUGUGAGAACUGAUUGUAGAAAGCUUGAACAAAUCAACAAAAAAUGAGUAACACCCUCACGGGAAAAAGGCCAAGAGUAGUCUUAAAGAGGCAUUUGAUGAAAUAUUAAUAAGAAAUACAGAUGGCCAGUACGUGUCAAAAGUGAUAAAUCUCAUGGGUAAUCAAACAAAUGGAAGGAAACAUUACAAGAAUGCAUUUUUCAAACGCUGGUUUGGAAAAAAAUUAAAAGAAUAAUAACCAGUAUUGGCAUGGGUAUGAGGAAAAUGACCGCCUUUUCAGAUUGAAGGGAUCAGAAACAGGUACACUGAAGGAACAAUCCGGCGAGAUGCAGCAGAAGUCCCUGUAAGGAAGACGAUCUUUAUAGUAUUCUCUUUCUGGGAGUUGUUUUUGGGGAAGCAAGCAAACCUGUGCACCAAGAUAUACGCACAAGGUUGUUUAGCGUAGCAACAAUAAUGCACGCCUCCUAAAUAAGUGAUAAAAUACACUCAUCUAUCUAUGGUUGUAAAGGGGUACUCCACAGCCAUCCUAAAAGAUACCGUGGAUUCUAGUUCUCGCCCAGCCCUGCUCCUUUUCUGCCAUCUCCUGAAAGCUGGAAAUGAGAGCUUGGAAGAGACUGUCCAAGCCAGUGUCCCCAAAUCUGUUGAAAUGCAGCUUGUUGAAAUGUUCAGCAUACAUGUGUUGGAAAAGCAGUUUAGAGAGCUACAUGUAUAAUGAGAAUGAAAUUUGUUUUUAAAAAACAUACAUAUUUACAUUAAGGUCAGGAAUCCGGGUUACUGUGCUUGUCUCUGGGUGGAAAGAUUUGGAUUAUUUUAAUCAAACCUCUGGCUGUUGCUUAUCUGUAAUAUCUAAUUUUUCUACAAUGAUUAUGUAUUACAGGAGUUUGUUGUUUUUUUCAUCUCCCGUUUUGGCACAUGAAGAGGAGCCCACAAAAGAAACCAGUUGCAAAGAUGAAAGGUGUUUACCAAACUGAGUUCUCCUGUAUCCUGGCGGGCGGGGAAGUCACUGCGGGGGAACUGAAAGGCGGUAAUUAGGCUGAACCUCAAGGGAUGGGGCAUUCAGGGGAGACGCAGAGUCGCCGGCGGCCAACGAAUGCCACGGGGACCCCAGGAACCACAAACUCGGGAUGCUGCGGGGAGAGGCAGCCCGCCUCCUGCCCCCCGCCCCACCCGCGGGCAUCUCCGGGCGCACAGCGCC
This 4162-nucleotide long non-coding RNA is filed under the name Capra hircus (goat). Its description in RNAcentral is "lncRNA (ENSCHIG00000005968.1)". Lineage: Eukaryota; Metazoa; Chordata; Mammalia; Artiodactyla; Bovidae. The record is from RNAcentral.